This 253-nucleotide ribosomal RNA is filed under the name uncultured bacterium. Its description in RNAcentral is "partial 16S ribosomal RNA". It matches the Rfam family "Bacterial small subunit ribosomal RNA", at positions 524 to 776 of the family's 1533-position model. The record is from RNAcentral.
UACGUAGGGUGCAAGCGUUGUCCGGAAUUAUUGGGCGUAAAGAGCUCGUAGGCGGUUUGUCGCGUCGGAUGUGAAACCCCGGGGCUUAACCCCGGGCCUGCAUUCGAUACGGGCUGACUAGAGUUCGGCAGGGGAGACUGGAAUUCCUGGUGUAGCGGUGAAAUGCGCAGAUAUCAGGAGGAACACCGAUGGCGAAGGCAGGUCUCUGGGCCACUACUGACGCUGAGAAGCGAAAGCAUGGGGAGCGAACAGG